CACGUAGGGGGCAAGCGUUGUUCGGAAUUACUGGGCGUAAAGGGCGCGUAGGCGGCCUGUUAAGUCGGACGUGAAAUCCCCGGGCUCAACCCGGGAACUGCGUCCGAUACUGGCAGGCUUGAAUUCGGGAGAGGGAUGUGGAAUUCCAGGUGUAGCGGUGAAAUGCGUAGAUAUCUGGAGGAACACCGGUGGCGAAGGCGGCAUCCUGGACCGAUAUUGACGCUGAUGCGCGAAAGCCAGGGGAGCAAACGGG
Molecule: ribosomal RNA, 253 nt
Filed under: uncultured bacterium
Lineage: Bacteria
Description: partial 16S ribosomal RNA
Rfam family: Bacterial small subunit ribosomal RNA
Source: RNAcentral